This 253-nucleotide ribosomal RNA is filed under the name uncultured bacterium. RNAcentral describes it as "partial 16S ribosomal RNA". It matches the Rfam family "Bacterial small subunit ribosomal RNA", at positions 524 to 776 of the family's 1533-position model. The record is from RNAcentral.
UACGAAGGGGGCUAGCGUUGCUCGGAAUCACUGGGCGUAAAGGGUGCGUAGGCGGGUUUUUAAGUCAGGGGUGAAAUCCUGGAGCUCAACUCCGGAACUGCCUUUGAUACUGAAGAUCUUGAGUCCGGGAGAGGUGAGUGGAACUGCGAGUGUAGAGGUGAAAUUCGUAGAUAUUCGCAAGAACACCAGUGGCGAAGGCGGCUCACUGGCCCGGUACUGACGCUGAGGAGCGAAAGCGUGGGGAGCGAACAGG